UACGGAGGGCGCGAGCGUUAAUCGGAAUUACUGGGCGUAAAGCGCGCGUAGGCUGUUGUGUAAGUUGGGGGUGAAAUCCCACGGCUCAACCGUGGAACAGCCCUUGAUACUGCGCGACUUGAAUCCGGGAGAGGGUGGCGGAAUUCCAGGUGUAGGAGUGAAAUCCGUAGAUAUCUGGAGGAACAUCAGUGGCGAAGGCGGCCACCUGGACCGGUAUUGACGCUGAGGCGCGAAAGCGUGGGGAGCAUACAGG
This 253-nucleotide ribosomal RNA is filed under the name uncultured bacterium. RNAcentral's name for it is "partial 16S ribosomal RNA". It matches the Rfam family "Bacterial small subunit ribosomal RNA", at positions 524 to 776 of the family's 1533-position model. The record is from RNAcentral.